This 253-nucleotide ribosomal RNA is filed under the name uncultured bacterium. RNAcentral describes it as "partial 16S ribosomal RNA". It matches the Rfam family "Bacterial small subunit ribosomal RNA", at positions 524 to 776 of the family's 1533-position model. The record is from RNAcentral.
UACGGGGGGGGCAAGCGUUGUUCGGAAUUACUGGGCGUAAAGGGCGCGUAGGUGGCUCGCUAAGUCUGAUGUGAAAACUCUGGGCUCAACCCAGAGCCUGCAUUCGAAACUGACGAGCUGGAGUUCUGGAGGGGAAAGCGGAAUUCCUGGUGUAGCGGUGAAAUGCGUAGAUAUCAGGAGGAACACCGGUGGCGAAGGCGGCUUGCUGGACAGAAACUGACGCUGAUGCGCGAAAGCUAGGGGAGCAAACAGG